This 403-nucleotide ribosomal RNA is filed under the name Bacteroidota bacterium. RNAcentral's name for it is "Bacteroidetes bacterium partial 16S ribosomal RNA". It matches the Rfam family "Bacterial small subunit ribosomal RNA", at positions 355 to 776 of the family's 1533-position model. Lineage: Bacteria; Pseudomonadati; Bacteroidota. RNAcentral also lists the same sequence under 1 other name. The record is from RNAcentral.
UGGGGAAUAUUGCACAAUGGAGGGAACUCUGAUGCAGCGACGCCGCGUGAACGAAGAAGGCUUUCGAGUCGUAAAGUUCUUUUAUAUGGGAAGAUAAUGACGGUACCAUAAGAAAAAGCCCCGGCAAACUACGUGCCAGCAGCCGCGGUAAUACGUAGGGGGCUAGCGUUGUCCGGAAUCACUGGGCGUAAAGGGUUCGCAGGCGGAAAUGCAAGUCAGGUGUAAAAGGCAGUAGCUUAACUACUGUAAGCAUUUGAAACUGCAUAUCUUGAGAAGAGUAGAGGUAAGUGGAAUUUUUAGUGUAGCGGUGAAAUGCGUAGAUAUUAAAAAGAAUACCGGUGGCGAAGGCGACUUACUGGGCUCAUUCUGACGCUGAGGAACGAAAGCGUGGGUAGCAAACAGG